GGAUGUGAGGGUGAUCUGGGUACAUCUGCUAUGCACUGAUGGCCAGAGCUGAUUCUGCUGACCUGGCUGGCCCUGCGGGUGUCCCCUUCCUCACCUCCUCAUGGGCCCCAGAGGAAGCUGUGCACUCAGGAGGAGACAACCGUCCCCAACAGAGGCUUACUGCUCUUCAGUCAAGGGUAUGCAGUAACUGCACACCCCACCCCUGCUAGACUCUUCAAACAAGUUCCAAAUAGUUAUUUCUUACAGAAUAAAGAAUAGUAACAAAAGCUUUAAUGGCUCAGUGCAAUCUACUUUCUAUACGGUUGCUGCCCCCUGCUGUUUAUGAAUCUAU
RNAcentral lists this small nuclear RNA (331 nucleotides) under Heterocephalus glaber (naked mole-rat). RNAcentral's name for it is "7SK RNA". It matches the Rfam family "7SK RNA". From Rfam's summary of the family: 7SK was discovered as an abundant small nuclear RNA in the mid-70s but a possible function has only recently been suggested. Two independent studies have found that 7SK RNA binds the CDK9/cyclin T complex (known as elongation factor P-TEFb). The record is from Rfam by way of RNAcentral. Lineage: Eukaryota; Metazoa; Chordata; Mammalia; Rodentia; Bathyergidae.